AUUGAACGCUGGCGGCAGGCCUAACACAUGCAAGUCGAGCGGAUGAAGGGAGCUUGCUCCUGGAUUCAGCGGCGGAAGGGUGAGUAAUGCCUAGGAAUCUGCCUGGUAGUGGGGGAUAACGUCCGGAAACGGGCGCUAAUACCGCCUACGUCCUGCGGGAGAAAGUGGGGGAUCUUCGGACCUCACGCUAUCAGAUGAGCCUAGGUCGGAUUAGCUAGUUGGUGGGGUAAAGGCCUACCAAGGCGACGAUCCGUAACUGGUCUGAGAGGAUGAUCAGUCACACUGGAACUGGGACACGGACCAGACUCCUACGGGAGGCAGCAGUGGGGAAUAGUGGACAAUGGGCGAAAGCCUGAUCCAGCCAGGCCGCGUGUGUGAAGAAGGUCUUCGGAGUGUAAAGCACUUUAAGUUGGGAGGAAGGGCAGUAAGUUAAUACCUUGCUGGUUUGACGUUACCAACAGAAUAAGCACCGGCUAACUUCGUG
RNAcentral lists this ribosomal RNA (484 nucleotides) under uncultured bacterium. RNAcentral's name for it is "partial 16S ribosomal RNA". It matches the Rfam family "Bacterial small subunit ribosomal RNA", at positions 30 to 507 of the family's 1533-position model. The record is from RNAcentral.